GCUCGAGUGGCGAACGGGUGAGUAACACGUGAGUAACCUGCCCUUGACUUUGGGAUAACUUCAGGAAGCUGGGGCUAAUACCGGAUAGGAGCUCCUGCUGCAUGGUGGGGGUUGGAAAGUUUCGGCGGUUGGGGAUGGAUUCGCGGCUUAUCAGCUUGUUGGUGGGGUAGUGGCUUACCAAGGCUUUGACGGGUAGCCGGCCUGAGAGGGUGACCGGCCACAUUGGGACUGAGAUACGGCCCAG
This 244-nucleotide ribosomal RNA is filed under the name uncultured Actinomycetales bacterium. RNAcentral describes it as "partial 16S ribosomal RNA". It matches the Rfam family "Bacterial small subunit ribosomal RNA", at positions 89 to 334 of the family's 1533-position model. The record is from RNAcentral. Lineage: Bacteria; Bacillati; Actinomycetota; Actinomycetes; Actinomycetales.